AGGUAAGCAACUCCAUGUUCUUCUAUUGGUCGCAUUCAUGGCUCUUCGAUCUUCUUGGCUCAAAGAAAAAUUUAAUAUCUCAUAGACUGGUUACAACGACUCAAGAUUUUUCUUUGUGAACAAAUUACAGCUCUUUCUUACUCUGUUAACAGGAGGGCACACUCUUGGAUUCUCUCAUUGUUCUUCCUUCCAAAAUAGAAUCCACAAUUUCGACAAUCUUAACGACAUUGAUCCAACACUACAAACAUCAUUUGCAGCCAGUCUUCAGAAUGUUUGCCCCAUGCACAACAAGGUCAGAAAUGCAGGUGCCACUAUGGAUUCUACUACAAAUUUAUUCGACAACGCAGUCACGACAUUGAUCCAACUCUACAAACGUCAUUUGCAUCUAGUCUGCAGAAUGUUUGCCCCAUGCACAACAAGGUCAGAAAUGCAGGUGCCACUAUGGAUUCUACUACAACUUUAUUCGACAACGCCUACUAUAAGCUUCUACUGAAUGGCAAGAGCCUUUUCUCUUCUGAUGAAUCUUUGCUCGCUACAACAAGGACCAAAAAACUAGUUUCAAAGUAUGCUGGCUCACAGGAUGAGUUCUUUAAAGCAUUUGCCAAUUCUAUGAUCAAGAUG
Molecule: long non-coding RNA, 621 nt
Filed under: Nicotiana benthamiana
Lineage: Eukaryota; Viridiplantae; Streptophyta; Magnoliopsida; Solanales; Solanaceae
Description: long non-coding RNA (NBEN_LNC035178)
Source: RNAcentral